This 484-nucleotide ribosomal RNA is filed under the name uncultured bacterium. RNAcentral's name for it is "partial 16S ribosomal RNA". It matches the Rfam family "Bacterial small subunit ribosomal RNA", at positions 30 to 507 of the family's 1533-position model. The record is from RNAcentral.
AUUGAACGCUGGCGGCAGGCCUAACACAUGCAAGUCGAGCGGAUGAAGGGAGCUUGCUCCUGGAUUCAGCGGCGGACGGGUGAGUAAUGCCUAGGAAUCUGCCUGGUAGUGGGGGAUAACGUCCGGAAACGGGCGCUAAUACCGCAUACGUCCUGAGGGAGAAAGUGGGGGAUCUUCGGACCUCACGCUAUCAGAUGAGCCUAGGUCGGAUUAGCUAGUUGGUGGGGUAAAGGCCUACCAAGGCGACGAUCCGUAACUGGUCUGAGAGGAUGAUCAGUCACAGUGGAACUGAGACACGGUCCAGACUCCUACGGGAGGCAGCAGUGGGGAAGAUUGGACAAUGGGCGAAAGCCUGAUCCAGCCAUACGGCGUGUGUGAAGAAAGUCUUCGGAUUGUAAAGCACUUUAAGUUGGGAGGAAGAGCAGUAAGUUAAUACCUUGCUGUUGUGACGUUACCAACAGAAUAAGCACCGGCUAACUUCGUG